RNAcentral lists this ribosomal RNA (460 nucleotides) under uncultured bacterium. RNAcentral describes it as "partial 16S ribosomal RNA". It matches the Rfam family "Bacterial small subunit ribosomal RNA", at positions 338 to 795 of the family's 1533-position model. The record is from RNAcentral.
CCUACGGGGGGCAGCAGUGAGGAAUAUUGGUCAAUGGACGCAAGUCUGAACCAGCCAUGCCGCGUGCAGGAGGACGGCUCUAUGAGUUGUAAACUGCUUUUGUACGGGGAUAAACGCAGAUACGCGUAUCUGUCUGAAAGUAUCGUACGAAUAAGGAUCGGCUAACUCCGUGCCAGCAGCCGCGGUAAUACGGAGGAUUCGAGCGUUAUCCGGAUUUAUUGGGUUUAAAGGGUGCGUAGGCGGUCGGAUAAGUUAGAGGUGAAAUCCCGAGGCUCAACUUCGGAAUUGCCUUUGAUACUGUUCGGCGAGAGAGUAGUUGCGGUAGGCGGAAUGUAUGGUGUAGCGGUGAAAUGCUUAGAGAUCAUACAGAACACCGAUUGCGAAGGCAGCUUACCAGGCUACUUCUGACGUUGAGGCACGAAAGCGUGGGGAGCAAACAGGAUUAGAUACCCCUGUAGUC